This is a non-coding RNA of Trichobilharzia regenti, 46 nucleotides long. NCBI's taxonomy places the organism in Eukaryota, Metazoa, Platyhelminthes, Trematoda, Strigeidida, Schistosomatidae. The record is from Rfam.
GUACUGAUGAAGAGUCCCAAAUUAGGACAAAACAGCUGUCCAAUAC